Culex quinquefasciatus (southern house mosquito) is the source of this 1056-nucleotide long non-coding RNA. RefSeq lists it as uncharacterized. The record is from RefSeq and is a predicted model, not a curated record. The transcript is spliced from 3 exons. NCBI's taxonomy places the organism in Eukaryota, Metazoa, Arthropoda, Insecta, Diptera, Culicidae.
ACAAAAUCUGGUCAGCGAAUCCGAAAAAUAUUUGCGACGAAUUCGGAAACAUGGAAAGUUUGCGUAUUCAUCAGCGAUGUUUGCAGAUUUGGAAAAAUUGCUUCCGAUAUCGAAACAAAAUGCUUUCAAAAUCGAAAACAUCUUGUUGCCGGUUAAUUUGAGCGUGUACCAUGCCGCAGCCAAUGCGUUACGAAAUGUCAGAAUCAGCUGCGCAAGAGAGAAAAGCAAAACAACAAUCUCUUGCACGCUUGUUUGUUUUUUUUUCGACUCGUGCAUUUCGUUGGUUUUUCGCCGCGAUUUCGGUGCAUUUAAUCCGCUUUGCUGUCCAACCCAGUCCGCCGCCGUUGGAUACACCGGACUCCACUGACCUUUUUCUACUCUAUAACUGGAAUCUGGUCAGUACCCGGUUAUCUGUAGAGUCCCCAUCCGCGAAGAGUUCCGCGUGAUACUGCGCAUCCCUUAGAAAGUCGUUCCUUCAAGGGAAACACAACGGCCACGGAUUACGCCGGUGGUAACAGCCGCGGCAGAUGUGCUUCCUGGCCACUCUAAGAAAAAUCUCUGGCAGCUGCCGUUGUUUUCGAAAAGCUGGUUCAAAGUUUUGUUCAGAUUUCGUGAUUGCAAGCUUCCUUCUCCCGGACACCAAGAACGAGCACCUGGACCUACGGCUCGCAGUUGCACCGUGAGUUCAGCAAACACCUUCACAGAUCCAACUGCUGGCGGAGAUUCUGGGAACUUGUUCCAGGCGGACGGUCUUCUAGUGGAGGCCACUCCGCUCAAGUCGAUUCUCGAGGUGAAGGUCGGCGGUCAACCUCCAGGGCUUCUGGCGGUACGCGAAUCCGCUCAAGGGACGUGCCAGCUCGUUGCGCGACGCUGGAAAUCAGCCAGAUUGACGACCCGAGCAUGCUGCACCGGUCUCAGCACCUCUAUCCGGGUGGCCCCGACGCCGAGUAACAUGCUAACGGUGGCACCGACGCCCAGCAGUAACCUGCUGCCCCGCGGACAUCCAGGACGACUAGAUCAGAAUAACCGAAAUUCCGUAGUAAACCACUCAAACAA